AGCGAACGCUGGCGGCAGGCUUAACACAUGCAAGUCGAACGGGCUUCUUCGGAAGUCAGUGGCAGACGGGUGAGUAACACGUGGGAACGUGCCCUUCGGUUCGGAAUAACUCAGGGAAACUUGAGCUAAUACCGGAUACGCCCUUUUGGGGAAAGGUUGCCUGCCGAAGGAUCGGCCCGCGUCUGAUUAGCUUGUUGGUGGGGUAACGUCCUACCAAGGCGACGAUCAGUAGCUGGUCUGAGAGGAUGAUCAGCCACACUGAGACUGAGACACAGCCCAGACUCCUACGGGAGGCAGCAGUGGGGGAUAUUGGAAAAUGGGCGCAGGCCUGAUCCAGCCAUGACGCGUGAGUGAUGAAGGCCUUAGGGUUGUAAAGCUCUUUUGUCCGGGACGAUAAUGACGGUACCGGAAGAAUAAGCCCCGGCUAACUUCGUG
This 435-nucleotide ribosomal RNA is filed under the name uncultured bacterium. RNAcentral describes it as "partial 16S ribosomal RNA". It matches the Rfam family "Bacterial small subunit ribosomal RNA", at positions 29 to 507 of the family's 1533-position model. The record is from RNAcentral.